RNAcentral lists this ribosomal RNA (403 nucleotides) under Verrucomicrobiota bacterium. RNAcentral describes it as "Verrucomicrobia bacterium partial 16S ribosomal RNA". It matches the Rfam family "Bacterial small subunit ribosomal RNA", at positions 355 to 776 of the family's 1533-position model. Lineage: Bacteria; Pseudomonadati; Verrucomicrobiota. The record is from RNAcentral.
UGGGGAAUAUUGGACAAUGGGCGCAAGCCUGAUCCAGCCAUGCCGCGUGAGUGAUGAAGGCCCUAGGGUUGUAAAGCUCUUUCACCGGUGAAGAUAAUGACGGUAACCGGAGAAGAAGCCCCGGCUAACUUCGUGCCAGCAGCCGCGGUAAUACGAAGGGGGCUAGCGUUGUUCGGAUUUACUGGGCGUAAAGCGCACGUAGGCGGACUAUUAAGUCAGGUGUGAAAGCGUGAGGCUUAACCUCAUUAAGCACUUGAAACUGAUAGACUUGAGUGAAGGAGAGGAAAGUGGAAUUCCUAGUGUAGCGGUGAAAUGCGUAGAUAUUAGGAGGAAUACCGGUGGCGAAGGCGACUUUCUGGACUUUUACUGACGCUCAGGUACGAAAGCGUGGGGAGCAAACAGG